This 486-nucleotide long non-coding RNA is filed under the name Hordeum vulgare. RNAcentral's name for it is "long non-coding RNA (HVUL_LNC014064)". Lineage: Eukaryota; Viridiplantae; Streptophyta; Magnoliopsida; Poales; Poaceae. The record is from RNAcentral.
UUGGUUUCAUGUCGUUGAUGCAUACAUGCGCAUGGGCUUAGUGUUAAGUUUGAAAAUGGAGGGCAUCAGGAGGAACCAAUUCAGCCACUCGAUUAAACAUAGCUGUGAAUUGGGAUGAGCAACGGGUCUCCAAAGAUCAACUUCUCUGAACUGCUUGUGUUGAUCCUCUAUAAUUAGCAAACCCCUGGUAUCACUCUUUUGUGUUGCUACUGCGGUGGUAACUCCGUGUUCCCGUCUGGAGGAUUUGAAGGCUAGAGCCCUCCCAGGCUCCCACUAUUACAAAUUGUGUGGCAUACAUGCAAUUUAUCCGGGAACGCUACAGCCUGAUUAGGAUAAGCGUGGCCUGCAACAUCUUGAUGUAUCAGCUUCACCCUGCAGCCACCACUAAUAGAAAACAAGGCUUUGAUUCGAGCCUGGUCAGCCCAUUAGUCCCGGUUCUUCACGAACCGGGACCCAUGGGGGGCAUUAGACCCGGUUCAUGAGCCC